ACCUGGCUGGCUCAGUCAGUAGAGCACGCAACUAUUGAUCUUGGGUUGUGAGUUCAAACCCCACGUUGGGUG
Molecule: transfer RNA, 72 nt
Filed under: Canis lupus dingo (dingo)
Lineage: Eukaryota; Metazoa; Chordata; Mammalia; Carnivora; Canidae
Rfam family: tRNA
About the family: Transfer RNA (tRNA) molecules are approximately 80 nucleotides in length. Their secondary structure includes four short double-helical elements and three loops (D, anti-codon, and T loops). Further hydrogen bonds mediate the characteristic L-shaped molecular structure. tRNAs have two regions of fundamental functional importance: the anti-codon, which is responsible for specific mRNA codon recognition, and the 3' end, to which the tRNAs corresponding amino acid is attached (by aminoacyl-tRNA synthetases). tRNAs cope with the degeneracy of the genetic code in two manners: having more than one tRNA (with a specific anti-codon) for a particular amino acid; and 'wobble' base-pairing, i.e. permitting non-standard base-pairing at the 3rd anti-codon position.
Source: Rfam by way of RNAcentral